GCGCACCUGUUUCCUACCUCUCAACUGUCUUCGUUUCUGCCUCCUCCUUCAGAGGAGAAGUAACAUUCAUGGAUUCUUAGGGCCAGACAACUCCUUUGCGGCGACUUCAGAAUGUUGAAAAGGUUUUGGAGGUUGCAGGAGCCAGGAGGAGUCAUGGAUGAACUUGUAAAGCCCUAUAAGUCCUAGGAAAGAUGUGGUCCAAAACCGCUGUCUUGAAUUCAUGCAAUUAAUCAAGCUUAUGAAAAUUCAACUGCCUCUGGUCUUUGCAUUCUACAAAUUCCUUAUUCAAAUUGAUAGAGUGAGAAACAUAAAAGGAAUAAUGAGAUUUGCUACAAGAAAGGGGGAUUUAUCAUGCAGCAGUCUGAAAUGAUGUAUAUUUAGAAGCCUCUGUCGAGUUGAGCAGAAAGAGUCGGUGAGAAGCUCUGUUUCAAUGGUCAAAGACUUUCCGGAUUUAGGAAGAAAAAUGCAAGAACAAAGGUGAGUUUAUUUAUACCUUUUUCUUUACGUAUGUUAGAGAAUAUUAAGAAUAUCUUACAAAUCCUUAUCACCUUUGUAAUUUAAUUAACUAGGUUCACAUUACUACUCAGUAGAUUUGAGCUCAUAUUAGUCGUACUAGUAUGAAUAAGGUUACAGCUAGUUUGUUGCACCCAUUAUCUCUCAAUAGAUAGUAAGUAAAAUACACAUUAUUUGUUAAGAACAAAUGGUGAGACUUCUUAAGAACCAAUGUUAUAUAUUGACAAUACAGUUUAUUAG
Molecule: long non-coding RNA, 753 nt
Organism: Arachis duranensis
Lineage: Eukaryota; Viridiplantae; Streptophyta; Magnoliopsida; Fabales; Fabaceae
Exons: 4
Source: RefSeq, a predicted model, not a curated record